GACGAACGCUGGCGGCGUGCUUAACACAUGCAAGUCGAACGGAAAGGCCUGCUUUCCCUUGUGGAUUGCGGGUACUCGAGUGGCGAACGGGUGAGUAACACGUGAGUGAUCUGCCCCCAACUUGGGUAUAAGCCUGGGAAACUGGGUCUAAUUCCCGAUAGGACUGCAGGGUGGUGCCUGUGGUGGAAAACGAUUUUCUAGUGGUUGGGGAUGAGCUCGCGGCCUAUCAGCUUGUUGGUGGGGUAAUGGCCUACCAAGGCGGCGACGGGUAGCCGGCCUGGGGGGGUGGACGGCCACAUUGGGACUGAGAUACGGCCCAGACUCCUACGGGAGGCAGCAGUGGGGAAUAUUGCACAAUGGGCGGAAGCCUGAUGCAGCGACGCCGCGUGGGGGAUGCCGGCCUUCGGGUUGUAAACUCCUUUCGACCGCGAGGAAGCCACCUGGUUGGAAGGGUGGUGACGGUAGUGGUAGAAGAAGCACCGGCUAACUACGUG
This 494-nucleotide ribosomal RNA is filed under the name uncultured bacterium. RNAcentral describes it as "partial 16S ribosomal RNA". It matches the Rfam family "Bacterial small subunit ribosomal RNA", at positions 28 to 507 of the family's 1533-position model. The record is from RNAcentral.